AUUGAACGCUGGCGGCAUGCCUUACACAUGCCAGUCGAACGGUAACGGGCCUUCGGGUGCCGACGAGUGGCGAACGGGUGAGUAAUACAUCGGAACGUGCCCGAUCGUGGGGGAUAACGAGGCGAAAGCUUUGCUAAUACCGCAUACGAUCUACGGAUGACAGCAGGGGACCGCAAGGCCUUGCGCGGACGGAGCGGCCGAUGGCAGAUUAGGUAGUUGGUGGGAUAAAAGCUUACCAAGCCGACGAUCUGUAGCUGGUCUGAGAGGAUGAUCAGCCACACUGGGACUGAGACACGGCCCAGACUCCUACGGGAGGCAGCAGUGGGGAAUUUUGGACAAUGGGCGCAAGCCUGAUCCAGCCAUGCCGCGUGCAGGAUGAAGGCCUUCGGGUUGUAAACUGCUUUUGUACGGAACGAAAAGCCUUCUUUUAAUACAGGAGGGUCAUGACGGUACCGUAAGAAUAAGCACCGGCUAACUACGUG
RNAcentral lists this ribosomal RNA (482 nucleotides) under uncultured bacterium. Its description in RNAcentral is "partial 16S ribosomal RNA". It matches the Rfam family "Bacterial small subunit ribosomal RNA", at positions 30 to 507 of the family's 1533-position model. The record is from RNAcentral.